RNAcentral lists this long non-coding RNA (429 nucleotides) under Calidris pugnax (ruff). RNAcentral describes it as "lncRNA (ENSCPUG00000018025.1)". Lineage: Eukaryota; Metazoa; Chordata; Aves; Charadriiformes; Scolopacidae. The record is from RNAcentral.
UCUUUUUGGUUCAUUGCUGAUGCACCCUGAUACCUAAAGCUCUAGCAAGAACAUAACUUGGGUUUUCUUUUUUCUUUCCCCUCUUCUUUUUUUCCCCAGGUUACUUUAAUCUAUAAUAUCAGCAAUAAUCACUGUGGUAUUGUUGCCUAGGCAUUCUUGAAGAGUCAGAAGUGGACUGUAAUUGAAGAGUUCAUUACCAAGAUCAGUUGGCUCCUUGAUUACAGUGGCAAGGUGAAAUAUAUAUCCUCACCAAAAAGCAACUGCUAAACCUUUAGAGAAGUCACCCACUUUUCACUCUUUUUCAUUAGGACCCCGACAAGCUUGUCAGCAAAAUUAAAGGCAGCCAAAGGCAUCAGUAGCGAAUCAGACCCAAGAUUUAGGAGGUUGUGAUACUGCACCACUAUUCCCAUGGCAGGCGAGUGCUUCUCC